CCUACGGGAGGCAGCAGUAAGGAAUAUUGGUCAAUGGGCGCAAGCCUGAACCAGCCAUGCCGCGUGCAGGAAGACGGCCCUAUGGGUUGUAAACUGCUUUUGAACAAGAGAAAACCUCGGUACGUGUACCGAGCUGAUAGUAUUGUUAGAAUAAGCAUCGGCUAACUUCGUGCCAGCAGCCGCGGUAAGACGAAGGAUGCAAGCGUUAUCCGGAUUCAUUGGGUUUAAAGGGUGCGUAGGCGGCCUGAUAAGUCAGUGGUGAAAUCUCUCAGCUUAACUGAGAAACUGCCAUUGAUACUGUCGGGCUUGAGUACAGAUGAUGUGGGCGGAAUAUGACAUGUAGUGGUGAAAUACUUAGAUAUGUCAUAGAACACCGAUUGCGAAGGCAGCUCACAAAACUGUAACUGACGCUGAGGCACGAAAGUGCGGGGAUCAAACAGGAUUAGAUACCCUGGUAGUCCGCACCGUAAACGAUGAUUACUCGUUGUUGGCAAUAUGACCGUCAGCGACCAAGCGAAAAGCGAUAAGAAUCCACCUGGGGAGUACGCCGGCAACGGUUGAAACUCAAAGGAAUUGACGGCNGAGAGNGCGACGGACGACGACGAGGGAGGAGG
This 614-nucleotide ribosomal RNA is filed under the name uncultured bacterium. RNAcentral's name for it is "bacterial SSU rRNA". It matches the Rfam family "Bacterial small subunit ribosomal RNA", at positions 338 to 951 of the family's 1533-position model. The record is from RNAcentral.